GAUGAACGCUGGCGGCGUGCCUAAUACAUGCAAGUCGAGCGAACGGACUAUUAGCUUGCUUCUCUGAUGUUAGCGGCGGACGUGUGAGUAACACUUGGAUAACCUACCUAUAAGACUGGGAUCACUUCGUGAAUCCGGAGCUAAUACCAUAUAAUAUUUUGAACCGCAUGGUUCAUAAGUUAAAGACGGUCUUUCUGUCACUUAUAGAUGGUUCCGCGCUGCAUUAGCUAGUUGGUAAGGUAACGGGUUACCAAGGCAGCGAUGCAUAGCCGACCUGGGAGGGUGAUCGGCCAAACUGGAGGUGGAACACGGACAAGAAUCCUGCGGGAAGGAGAAGUAUGGAAGGGUCGGCAAAGGGCGAAAGCAUGACGGAGCAAGGCCGCGUGAGUGAUGAAGGUAUUCGGAUCGUAAAAAACGGUUAUUAGGGAAGAACAGAUGUGGAAGUAACUGAGAACAGAGUGACGGUACCGAGUAAGAAAGCAACGGCUAACUAAGUG
RNAcentral lists this ribosomal RNA (497 nucleotides) under uncultured bacterium. RNAcentral's name for it is "partial 16S ribosomal RNA". It matches the Rfam family "Bacterial small subunit ribosomal RNA", at positions 28 to 507 of the family's 1533-position model. The record is from RNAcentral.